GUCAAAUGACAAUAGGCUUAUGGUGGAUACCUAGGCACCCAAAGUUGAUGAAGGGCGCGGAAACCGGCGAAACGCUUCGGGGAGUUGGAAACACGCUUUGAUCCGAAGAUACCCGAAUGGGGCAACCCUUUAAACUACCGACUGAAUUCAUAGGUCGGCAAGAAGUAACCCGCUGAACUGAAACAUCUUAGUAAGCGGAGGAAAAGAAAGCAAACGCGAUUCCCUUAGUAGCGGCGAGCGAAGUGGGAACAGCCUAAACCGAUGAUUUCAUCGGGGUUGUGGGAAGAUGAUCUUAACAAUUCUAAAACAAAUAAACGAAGCAGCUGAAUCCUGCACCAUAGAUGGUGAAAGUCCAGUAGUUAAAAUAGUUCAAGGAUUGGAUUUUCUUAUCCCGAGUAGCAUGGGGCACGUGGAACCCCGUGUGAAUCAGCGAGGACCACCUCGUAAGGCUAAAUACUCUUGGGUGACCGAUAGUGAAAUAGUACCGUGAGGGAAAGGUGAAAUAGAACCCCAGUAGGGGAGUGCAAUAGAACAUGAAACCAUAAGCUCACAAUCUGUGGGAGCCAGACUUAGUCUGGUGACCGCGUUCCUGUUGAAGAAUGAGCUGGCGACUUAUAGGGAGUGGCUUGGUUAAGGAGUUUAUCCGGAGCCUAAGCGAAAGCAAGUCUGAAUAGGGCGUUUGUCACUUCUUAUGGACCCGAACCCGGGUGAUCUAACCAUGACCAGGAUGAAGCUUGGGUAAAACCAAGUGGAAGACCGAACCGACCGAUGUUGAAAAAUCGGCGGAUGAGUUGUGGUUAGGGGAGAAAUUCUAAUCGAACUCGGAGCUAGCUGGUUCUCUUCGAAAUGUGUUGAGGCGCAGCGGUUGGCGACGGGCUGUCUAGGGGUAAAGCACUGUUUCGGUGCGGGCUGGGAAACUGGUACCAAAUCGUAGCAAACUCAGAAUACUAGGCAUGCUUUCCGUCAACCAGUGAGACGGUGGGGGAUAAGCUUCAUCGUCGAGAGGGAAACAGCCCAGAUCAUCAGCUAAGGCCCCUAAAUGGCAGCUAAGUGGCAAAGGAUGUGAGAAUGCAGAGACAACCAGAAGGUUUGCUUAGAAGCAGCCAUCCUUAAAAGAGUGCGUAAUAGCUCACUGGUAGAGCGUUCUUGCGCCGAAAAUGAACGGGACUAAGCUGCCUGCCGAAGCUGUGGGAUUGCUUUUUUUAUAAAGGAAUCGGUAGAAGAGCGUUCCGCUCUAGGGUGAAGUAUCAACGUAAGUUGGUGUGGACGAAGCGGAAGUGAGAAUGUCAGCUUGAGUAGCGCAAACAUUGGUGAGAAUCCAAUGCCCCGAAAACCUAAGGGUUCCUCCACAAGGCUCGUCCAUGGAGGGUGAGUCAGGACCUAAGGCGAGGCCGAAAGGCGUAGUCGAUGGCAAACAGGUUAAUAUUCCUGUACUGAUUCUUAUUUGACACCGAGGGACGAAGGAGGCUAAAUUGUCUGGGUUUUGGGAUCCAGUGGAAGCGUCCGAGGCUAUGAGAGGUAGAAUAAAAACUAACCUUGAGCGUAGGCGUGAUCCGGUUUUGUGUGUCUGUAUUUAUAUAGACCAUAAGACUCAAUUGAUGUCACACUUCCAAGAAAAGCUCGUACUGUCUAUAAAUAAGAAUUACCUGUACCCUAAACCGACACAGGUGGGUAGGUAGAGUAUACUAAGGGGCGCGAGAUAACUCUCUCUAAGGAACUCGGCAAAAUGGCCCCGUAACUUCGGGAGAAGGGGUGCCGUGCUUGCACGGUUGCAGUGACCAGGCCCAAGCGACUGUUUAUCAAAAACACAGGUCUCCGCUAAGUCGAAAGACGAUAUAUGGGGGCUGACGCCUGCCCAGUGCCGGAAGGUGAAGGAAGUUGGUUAUUACUUGUAAGAAGCUAACGACCGAAGCCCCGGUGAACGGCGGCCGUAACUCUGACGGUCCUAAGGUAGCGAAAUUCAUUGUCAAGUAAGUUUUGACCUGCACGAAAGGCGUAACGAUUUGGGCACUGUCUCGGAGAGAGACUCGGCGAAAUAGACAUAUCUGUGAAGAUGCGGAUUACCUGCACCCGGACAGAAAGACCCUAUGAAGCUUGACUGUAGUUUGAGAUUGGAUUCGGGCUUUUCUUGCGCAGCAUAGGUGGGAGGCUAUGAGAGCAACCUUCCGGGGUUGUUGGAGCCAUCAUUGAGAUACCACUCUAGGAGAGCUAGAAUUCUAAUGGCGUUCCUUGAAUCAGGACGCUUGACAGUUUCAGAUGGGCAGUUUCACUGGGGCGGUGGCCUCAUAAAAGGUAACUGAGGCGUGCAAAGGUUCUCUCAAACUGGACGGAAAUCAGUUGUAGAGCGUAAAGGCAGAAGAGAGCUUGACUGCAAGACCUACAAGUCGAGCAGGGGCGAAAGCCGGCCUUAGUGAUCCGACGGUACCGUGUGGAAGGGCCGUCGCUCAACGGAUAAAAGUUACUCUAGGGAUAACAGGCUGAUCUUCCCCGAGAGUUCGCAUUGACGGGAAGGUUUGGCACCUCGAUGUCGGUUCGUCGCAACCUAGGGCGGUAGUUCGUCCUAAGGGUUAGGCUGUUCGCCUAUUAAAGCGGUACGUGGCUGGGUUCAGAACGUCGUGAGACAGUUCGGUCCAUAUCCGGUGUAGGCGUUAGAGCAUUGAGAGGAUCUCAACAUAGUACGAGAGGACCCGAAGGGACACACCGCUGGUGUACCAGUUCUUGUACCAACAGGAAACGCUGGGUAGCUAUGUGUGGAGCGGAUAACUGCUGAAAGCAUCUAAGUAGGAAGCCCUCCUCAAGAUGAGUGCUCUCCAUUAGGUUACGACUAGACAAGUCGUUGAUAGGUAUCAGGUGUAAGGCCAGUAAUGGUUUCAGCCGAGAUAUACUAAUAAACCGAAUGAUUUUGAC
This 2907-nucleotide ribosomal RNA is filed under the name Oltmannsiellopsis viridis. RNAcentral's name for it is "LSU rRNA". It matches the Rfam family "Bacterial large subunit ribosomal RNA". The record is from RNAcentral. Lineage: Eukaryota; Viridiplantae; Chlorophyta; Ulvophyceae; Oltmannsiellopsidales; Oltmannsiellopsidaceae.